CGGUGGCCGCCGCCUAAUCGCCCACCGCGGCGAACCGGGGAACCACAGUCCGUGGGGUGUAUCCGCUUCAGCGGUAGGGAUCUUCCGUCCCGAACCCGUCAGCUAACCCGGUCGGCGGCUGACGGAAGGACAC
This 133-nucleotide small RNA is filed under the name Micromonospora yangpuensis. RNAcentral's name for it is "c-di-AMP sequence". It matches the Rfam family "c-di-AMP riboswitch aptamer (ydaO/yuaA leader)". From Rfam's summary of the family: This family represents a conserved RNA structure found upstream of the ydaO and yuaA genes in Bacillus subtilis and related genes in other bacteria. The record is from Rfam by way of RNAcentral. Lineage: Bacteria; Bacillati; Actinomycetota; Actinomycetes; Micromonosporales; Micromonosporaceae.